AGAUUGAACGCUGGCGGCAUGCCUUACACAUGCAAGUCGAACGGCAGCACGGGAGCAAUCCUGGUGGCGAGUGGCGAACGGGUGAGUAAUACAUCGGAACGUGCCCAGUUGUGGGGGGAUAGCCCGGCGAAAGCCGGAUUAAUACCGCAUACGACCUACGGGUGAAAGCGGGGGAUCGCAAGACCUCGCGCUAUUGGAGCGGCCGAUGUCGGAUUAGCUUGUUGGUAGGGUAAAAGCCUACCAAGGCUACGAUCCGUAGCUGGUCUGAGAGGACGACCAGCCACACUGGGACUGAGACACGGCCCAGACUCCUACGGGAGGCAGCAGUGGGGAAUUUGGACAAUGGGCGAAAGCCUGAUCCAGCCAUGCCGCGUGCAGGAUGAAGGCCUUACGGGUUGUAAACUGUCGUUUUGUACGGAACGAAAAGUCUACUUCCUAAUAAAGAGGAUCAUGACGGUACGUAAGAAUAAGCACCGGACUAACUACGUGACCAGCAGCCGACGUAA
This 506-nucleotide ribosomal RNA is filed under the name uncultured soil bacterium. RNAcentral's name for it is "bacterial SSU rRNA". It matches the Rfam family "Bacterial small subunit ribosomal RNA", at positions 26 to 523 of the family's 1533-position model. The record is from RNAcentral.